CCUACGGGUGGCUGCAGUAGGGAAUCUUCCACAAUGGGCGAAAGCCUGAUGGAGCAACGCCGCGUGGGUGAAGAAGGUCUUCGGAUCGUAAAACCCUGUUGUUAGAGAAGAAAGUGCGUGAGAGUAACUGUUCACGUGUCGACGGUAUCUAACCAGAAAGCCACGGCUAACUACGUGCCAGCAGCCGCGGGAAUACGUAGGUGGCAAGCGUUAUCCGGAUUUAUUGGGCGUAAAGGGAACGCAGGCGGUCUUUUAAGUCUGAGGUGAAAGCCUUCGGCUUAACCGGAGUAGUGCCUUGGCAACUGUGAGACUUGAGUGCAGAAGAGGCGAGUGGAACUCCAUGUGUCGCGGUGACAUGCGUAGAUAUAUGGAAGAACCCCAGUGGCGAACGCGGCUCUCUGGUCUGUACCUGACGCUGAGGUUCGAAAGCGUGGGUAGCAAACAGGAUUAGCUACCCUGGUAGUC
Molecule: ribosomal RNA, 465 nt
Filed under: uncultured bacterium
Lineage: Bacteria
Description: partial 16S ribosomal RNA
Rfam family: Bacterial small subunit ribosomal RNA
Source: RNAcentral